CGUAGGGCGCGGGCGUUGUCCGGAAUUAUUGGGCGUAAAGAGCUCGUAGGCGGUUUGUCGCGUCGGAUGUGAAAGCCCACGGCUUAACUGUGGGUCUGCAUUCGAUACGGGCAGACUAGAGGCAGGUAGGGGAGCAUGGAAUUCCCGGUGUAGCGGUGAAAUGCGCAGAUAUCGGGAGGAACACCGGUGGCGAAGGCGGUGCUCUGGGCCUUGCCUGACGCUGAGGAGCGAAAGCGUGGGGAGCGAACAGGAUU
RNAcentral lists this ribosomal RNA (254 nucleotides) under uncultured bacterium. RNAcentral's name for it is "partial 16S ribosomal RNA". It matches the Rfam family "Bacterial small subunit ribosomal RNA", at positions 526 to 779 of the family's 1533-position model. The record is from RNAcentral.